RNAcentral lists this transfer RNA (75 nucleotides) under Chloroflexota bacterium. RNAcentral's name for it is "tRNA-Pro". It matches the Rfam family "tRNA". Rfam says of the family: Transfer RNA (tRNA) molecules are approximately 80 nucleotides in length. Their secondary structure includes four short double-helical elements and three loops (D, anti-codon, and T loops). The record is from RNAcentral. Lineage: Bacteria; Bacillati; Chloroflexota. RNAcentral also lists the same sequence under 1 other name.
CGGGGCGUGGCGCAGUCCGGUAGCGUGCUUGAAUGGGGUUCAAGAGGUCGACGGUUCAAAUCCGUCCGCCCCGAC